RNAcentral lists this long non-coding RNA (1089 nucleotides) under Parus major (Great Tit). Its description in RNAcentral is "lncRNA (ENSPMJG00000017783.1)". The record is from RNAcentral. Lineage: Eukaryota; Metazoa; Chordata; Aves; Passeriformes; Paridae.
UCUCCGGGAUCUCCAGGAGCUGGGAAUGCGGUGUCCGGCUGAGCCUGAUCCCGUGAACAUCCCUGGGCAGGGGAAUCCACGGAUCGGAGGGAAAAACCAUCCCAGCAGUAAAAUCCCCCAUUCCAGGGCUGGAUGGAAUUCCCUGUGCCCGGGGAUGGAGAGGGUGUCCCAAGGCUGAGCCCCCGCCCGGAGGGGCCAGGACACGGAGGCAGAGGCUCAGAGCAUUCCCUGUUCCUGGAAUUCCGGCUCCCGGGAGCUGCCUGGUCAGGGCUGUUCCAGGAUAUUUUCCAGACCAUUUGCGCGGGCACCUCCAGGUCAUUUCGAUCACUUUAAGCCACUUAUCUGCCCAUUUUCCUGCCCAUAAUAUUUCCCUAAUUCGAUUACUCUGCAGCCUCCGCUCCUGCAGGGAAAGCAGCGGCAGAAUUCACCCGGAGCCAGCGGCUGGGCCACGGCCAGCAGCUCUGCCCUUGUGGGGACACUGGGGACACCCCCGGGGACAUUGGGGACACCCCCGGGGGCAUUGGGGACACUCCUGGGGACACUGGGGAUACUCCUGGGGACACUGGGACACCCCUGGAGACACUGGGGACACCCCCGGGGACAUUGGGGACACCCCCGGGGACAUUGGGGACACCCCCGGGGACACAGGGACACUCCUGGGGACACCCCCGGGGACACUGGGGACACCCCUGGGGACAUUGGGGACACCCCCGGGGACACUGGGGACACCCCUGGGGACACUGGGGACACCCCCGGGGACACUCCUGGAGACAGUCCUGGGGACACCCCCAGGGCCUGUCUGGUGAGCUGCCAGCCCCAGGCUGCGUGCAGCCACCCCCAGCUGCUCCAAGGAUCCCGAUUUAUCCAUUCCAGGAAAAACGGGAGAGUUUGGGAUUAAAAUCCCAACCUGGAUCCCAAACUGGGAUUGAAGGGGAGGGGUCCCAAAUGGGAUUUGGGAUUGGGAUUGGGAUUGGGAUUGGGAUUGGGAUUGGGAUUGGGAUUGGGAUUGGGAUUGGGAUUGGGAUUGGGAUUGGGAUGGAGGGAGGGNNNNNNNNNNNNNNNNNNNNNNNNNNNNNNNNNNNNNNNNNN